This 194-nucleotide ribosomal RNA is filed under the name uncultured Nitrosococcus sp. RNAcentral describes it as "partial 16S ribosomal RNA". It matches the Rfam family "Bacterial small subunit ribosomal RNA", at positions 336 to 523 of the family's 1533-position model. The record is from RNAcentral. Lineage: Bacteria; Pseudomonadati; Pseudomonadota; Gammaproteobacteria; Chromatiales; Chromatiaceae.
CUCCUACGGGAGGCAGCAGUGGGGAAUUUUGGACAAUGGGCGAAAGCCUGGUCCAGCCAUGCCGCGUGAGUGAAGAAGGCCUUCGGGUUGUAAAGCUCUUUCAGUUGGGAAGAAACGAUUGCAACUAAUAAUUGUAAUUAAUGACGGUACCGACAGAAGAAGCACCGGCUAACUACGUGCCAGCGCCGCGGUAA